AUUUUUCAGUUGCCAAACAACAGCUCUUUAUUAAAUUUACAUUUGUUUCACGUUUGUAGAGCCAGAAUGGCUAGCUCUAGUAAUUUCAAUGCAAAUUCAAACACAAUUACUACAAAUCAAACACCACAAACAAUUUUUUCUUUCAACACUCCAAUCAAUUAGAUUGAUCUAAUUACAUGAUCUUGCGUAAUAUUGUUCUUCCUCCCACAAGAGCAAAUCACCUUUAUGGUUACAUCACUAGAGAGAAAGUAGCUCCAAAUUUAUUCAAAGCUUCAUCAAACUAUGCUGGAGCAGCAUCUGGAUCUAUUGAACAAAUUGAGAAUCUUGAAUACAUUACAUGGAUAUCAUAGGAUCAAAUGCUUCUUGGCUGGUUGCUUAACUUCAUUAGUAAAGAUAUAUUAAAUCUUGUUCUUCCUUUCUGGACUUCUUUCGAUGUCUGGAAGACUUUGGGAAAAAGUUGGGAGUGCAAUCUCAUGUUGGAGUGCAUUACUUCUUCAACUUAGGUAUGAGAUGGAUGUUCUAAGUAGGGGUCGACAUCGUGUCAGUUCGGAUUGGUAUUUGGUACAAACCAAAAAUUUCUGUUCGGAUUGUAUUUAUUUUAAAUAACCAAAAAAAUCGAACAAAAAAGCACCAAACUGUUAUUGAACCAAAAAUAUCGGAUUUGGUUCCAAUUUGGAUUUUCAGAUUUGGACCUUAUUAAAAAAAUUAAAAAUUUGCUAUGAUAAUCUUAUUCUUUGCAGAUUUCAUCAUAUUCUUUCAAUGAUCUUUGUUAUAGUAGAUCAAAAACAAUAAAAGUUUAUAAACCAAAGAACAUUUUUAAAUUAUUAAUUCAAAAUAGAAUCUAGACAUAAUAAACACUAAAAAAAGAAAAUACAUACAAAAUUUUUUUACACCAGUACAACAAUAAAACAAAAUAAGCAAAAAAUCAAAUUUGCAAAAGUUGAAAGGUGGAUGAUGAAUUCAUGAAGCAGCGGUGGACGGGAAGCACAGUUGCAGACAUGACGGUGGAGGCAUGGGCUGGUGGCCUUCGCCCAUGAGGAAUUAUGGUUCCUAGGUUUAAAGUUUUGAGAUUGAGAUUUGUGAGGGACGAGUUUGAUUUUAGGGACUAGUGUUUGUAUUAGAGAAGGGAUUUAUGAGGAUUUUGAUUUUGGCUGCUAGGUAUGAUUUCAUUUGUGAGGGUGUGAGGAUUGAAUUUAGGGCUUACAGGUGGGUGAGAAAAUGAGAAAUGAAGGGUUUGCUUUUAUGCGAAGGGUUUGAGUGUAUAUAUAUAUAUGUUAUGGUGUGUGCAUAA
RNAcentral lists this long non-coding RNA (1291 nucleotides) under Citrus sinensis (sweet orange). Its description in RNAcentral is "long non-coding RNA (CSIN_LNC004798)". Lineage: Eukaryota; Viridiplantae; Streptophyta; Magnoliopsida; Sapindales; Rutaceae. The record is from RNAcentral.